GGGUCAGUAGGUUGGUCGUGCCACCGGUACGUACUGGUCUCACUGAUUCCUCCUUCCUGAAGAACCGUAAUGCCAUUAAUUUGGUGCUGCGGGGAAACAGGACUGUUACUUUGAAAAAAUUAGAGUGUUUAAAGCAAGCUAACGCUUGAAUACAUUAGCAUGGAAUAAUGGAAUAGGACGAUCGAUCCUAUUUUGUUGGUUUCUAGGAUUGACGUA
This 216-nucleotide ribosomal RNA is filed under the name Glomeromycotina sp. RNAcentral describes it as "partial small subunit ribosomal RNA". The stretch from base 40 to 216 matches the Rfam family "Eukaryotic small subunit ribosomal RNA", at positions 686 to 864 of the family's 1831-position model. Lineage: Eukaryota; Fungi; Glomeromycota. The record is from RNAcentral.